UGGGGAAUAUUGCACAAUGGGCGCAAGCCUGAUGCAGCCAUGCCGCGGGUAUGAAGAAGGCCUUCGGGUUGUAAAGUACUUUCAGCGGGGAGGAAGGGAGUAAAGUUAAUACCUUUGCUCAUUGACGUUACCCGCAGAAGAAGCACCGGCUAACUCCGUGCCAGCAGCCGCGGUAAUACGGAGGGUGCAAGCGUUAAUCGGAAUUACUGGGCGUAAAGCGCACGCAGGCGGUUUGUUAAGUCAGAUGUGAAAUCCCCGGGCUCAACCUGGGAACUGCAUCUGAUACUGGCAAGCUUGAGUCUCGUAGAGGGGGGUAGAAUUCCAGGUGUAGCGGUGAAAUGCGUAGAGAUCUGGAGGAAUACCGGUGGCGAAGGCGGCCCCCUGGACAAAGACUGACGCUCAGGUGCGAAAGCGUGGGGAGCAAACAGG
Molecule: ribosomal RNA, 429 nt
Filed under: Chloroflexota bacterium
Lineage: Bacteria; Bacillati; Chloroflexota
Description: Chloroflexi bacterium partial 16S ribosomal RNA
Rfam family: Bacterial small subunit ribosomal RNA
Source: RNAcentral